Molecule: unclassified non-coding RNA, 533 nt
Filed under: Hevea brasiliensis (rubber tree)
Lineage: Eukaryota; Viridiplantae; Streptophyta; Magnoliopsida; Malpighiales; Euphorbiaceae
Source: RNAcentral
GUAUGUUGCCUUUUGUAGUUAGUGCUAAGCAUGAUUAUUGACAAUCAUGUCAAAAAUUCGCCUAGAACUGUAUGAAAUUGCAAAUUUGUACUUGGAUGUGCAUUUUUCACACAUGGCUGCAUGCAGGCAGACAAAGCAAAAGGUUUCUCAGAAUUUGCAUUUCCCUAAAGUUAGCAGUUGCAUCAACUUUGAAUAAAUAUGGUUGCAGAAUGGCUUGUUAAAAAAAAAAGGUAUUGCAUGUACUAGCCCAAGCCCAUCUGGCAUGAGUAACUUGAGAAAAUGAAUUUUAAGCCAUUGCACUCUCAAAUGGCUAGGCCAAGUUACGUGAGUUGUUCUUGGGCUAUCUAAAGCUUCAACUCUUCUUUGCUCUACUGAUAUGGGACUCAAAUCUGGGGUAUCAUAUUGAAUUUGGAUUUAAAAUUUAAACACCCCUUCUUUGAUUUUGCUUCAUUAGCCUAUGAAGUGAGUGCAUCACAGCAUAUUCAUUUUUUGUUUCUUCAAUUUUUAUCCAGGAACUAUUUCAGAUGGCUAUA